RNAcentral lists this ribosomal RNA (305 nucleotides) under uncultured bacterium. RNAcentral describes it as "bacterial SSU rRNA". It matches the Rfam family "Bacterial small subunit ribosomal RNA", at positions 333 to 655 of the family's 1533-position model. The record is from RNAcentral.
UUUUACCUACGGGACGCAGCAGUGGGGAAUAUUGCACAAUGGGGGAAACCCUGAUGCAGCGACGCCGCGUGAGUGAGGAAGUAUUUCGGUAUGUAAGGCUCUAUCAGCAGGGAAGAAAAUGACGGUACCUGACUAAGAAGCCCCGGCUAACUACGUGCCAGCAGCCGCGGUAAUACGUAGGGGGCAAGCGUUAUCCGGAUUUACUGGGUGUAAAGGGAGCGUAGACGGCUAAUCAAGUCAGAAGUGAAAACCCAGGGCUCAACCUUGGGAGUGCUUUUGAAACUGAGUAGCUAGAGUGCAGGAGG